RNAcentral lists this unclassified non-coding RNA (334 nucleotides) under soil metagenome. RNAcentral describes it as "partial contains 5.8S ribosomal RNA, internal transcribed spacer 2, and large subunit ribosomal RNA". The stretch from base 1 to 120 matches the Rfam family "5.8S ribosomal RNA", at positions 35 to 154 of the family's 154-position model. The record is from RNAcentral.
GAUGAAGAACGUAGCGAAAUGCGAUAAGUAAUGUGAAUUGCAGAAUUCAGUGAAUCAUCGAAUCUUUGAACGCACAUUGCGCCCCCCAGUAUUCUGGCGGGCAUGCCUGUUCGAGCGUCAUUUCAACCAUCAAGCCCUGCUUGUGUUGGGGUCCUGCGGCUGCCCGCAGGCCCUGAAAACCAGUGGCGGGCUCGCUAGUCACACCGAGCGCAGUAGCACAUCUCGCUCAGGGCGUGCGGCGGGCUCCAGCCGUUAAAGCACCCACCUUCCGCAAGGUUGACCUCGGAUCAGGUAGGAAUACCCGCUGAACUUAAGCAUAUCAAUAAGCGGAGGA